GGCGAACGGGUGAGGAACACGUGAGAAACCUGCCUUUCAUUCUGGGAUAACACCGGGAAACCGGUGCUAAUACCGGAUACUCCGUCUUGGCGGCAUCGCCGAGCCGGGAAAAAAUUUUGAUGAAAGAUGGUCUCGCGGCCUAUCAGCUAGUUGGUGAGGUAAUGGCUCACCAAGGCGACGACGGGUAGCCGGCCUGAGAGGGCGACCGGCCACACUGGGACUGAGACACGGCCCAGACUCCUACGGGAGGCAGCAGUAGGGAAUAUUGGGCAAUGGGCGCAAGCCUGACCCAGCGACGCCGCGUGAGGGAUGAAGGUCUUCGGAUUGUAAACCUCUUUCAGUAGGGAAGAAGCGAAAGUGACGGUACCUAAAGAAGAAGCACCGGCUAACUAUGUGCCAGCAGCCGCGGUAAUACAUAGGGUGCAAGCGUUGUCCGGAAUUAUUGGGCGUAAAGAGCUCGUAGGUCGUUUGUCGCGUCGAUUGUGAAAAUCUGAGGCUCAACCUCAGACCUGCAGUCGAUACGGGCAAACUAGAGUGUGGUAGGGGAGACUGGAAUUCCUGGUGUAGCGGUGGAAUGCGCAGAUAUCAGGAGGAACACCAAUGGCGAAGGCAGGUCUCUGGGCCAUAACUGACACUGAGGAGCGAAAGUGCGGGGAGCGAACAGGAUU
RNAcentral lists this ribosomal RNA (668 nucleotides) under uncultured Micrococcineae bacterium. RNAcentral's name for it is "bacterial SSU rRNA". It matches the Rfam family "Bacterial small subunit ribosomal RNA", at positions 97 to 779 of the family's 1533-position model. The record is from RNAcentral. Lineage: Bacteria; Bacillati; Actinomycetota; Actinomycetes; Micrococcales.